This 305-nucleotide unclassified non-coding RNA is filed under the name plant metagenome. RNAcentral's name for it is "partial contains 5.8S ribosomal RNA, internal transcribed spacer 2, and large subunit ribosomal RNA". The stretch from base 1 to 105 matches the Rfam family "5.8S ribosomal RNA", at positions 50 to 154 of the family's 154-position model. The record is from RNAcentral.
GAAAUGCGAUAAGUAGUGUGAAUAGCAGAAUUCAGUGAAUCAUCGAAUCUUUGAACGCACAUUGCGCCCUUUGGUAUUCCUUAGGGCAUGCCUGUUCGAGCGUCAUCUAAACCUUCAAGCCCUGCUUGGUGUUGGGUGCCUGUCCCGCCUCCGCGCGCGGACGCACCUCAAAUCCAUUGGCGGCCCCCGCGUCGGCCACGAGCGCAGCAGAAACGCGAACUCGUGAGCCCGUCCGGGCGGCUCCCAGAAGCUACACCCACCCAGUUUGACCUCGGAUCAGGUAGGGAUACCCGCUGAACUUAAGC